Cyprinus carpio (common carp) is the source of this 766-nucleotide long non-coding RNA. RefSeq lists it as uncharacterized. The transcript has 3 exons. The record is from RefSeq and is a predicted model, not a curated record. Lineage: Eukaryota; Metazoa; Chordata; Actinopteri; Cypriniformes; Cyprinidae.
GGCACCUAUUAUGCAAAAUUCACAUUUACAUGGUGUUUGACCAUACAUGUGUGUUGGCAGUGUGUGAGCAAAACCACCCUAGAAUGAUAAAAAUCCACCUAGUGGUUUUUUUACAAUCUCAAUAAUUCAUGAGCACUGUCUCAAAACGCCCUGUUCUAAGACUGCUCUCACUGUGACGUAGAAUUGAGCUAAGCCCCACCGACGUGGUUUGAUUGACAAUCUGGUUUUGGCAUAGAGCCCGCCCUCCGUGAUCUGUACACCAUCCUCCAUUGUUUCAAAGACAGCCGGUAAUGUCUCCUAAGAAACAUAAGUGUUCUGUUGUGGGAUGUAAUAAUGAACAUAGUAGUUUUCACUUACUUCCGACAUCAGAGCCACUGAAAACGCAGUGGAUGGAUUUUAUUUAUGAAGGAAAGGCGCCACUCAAAAUUCCAAAAUACGUUUAUGUUUGCGCGAAUCAUUUUUUGACUGACUGUUUUGAGAACGAGGGUCAAUUCAAAGCAGGUCUUGCUUCAAAGUUAAUCCUCAAGUCUGGAUCGUUGCCUACUGUUCGCGAUGCAACGUCACCUUCAGAAGAAGCCAGCACAUCGACACGAAGCUGUAGAACGAGGGAUAUUGGCGUGCAGACAGAAACAUCAAAGCUAUGCAGUGUUGGUACACAACUGUCAAUGAGGACGCUUCAAACACACCACAGGAGUGUCUGUGUCCAGACAGAGACAACAUUGUCAAGUUUUGAUGUUAGCACAAAAUUAGUUUCUCAUACAGCUGU